Vombatus ursinus (common wombat) is the source of this 2558-nucleotide long non-coding RNA. RefSeq lists it as uncharacterized. The transcript has 3 exons. Lineage: Eukaryota; Metazoa; Chordata; Mammalia; Diprotodontia; Vombatidae. The record is from RefSeq and is a predicted model, not a curated record.
AGUGGAGCUGGGAAGAGACAACAGAAAGCAGUCUUCCUGGAUCAGGCUUUCCCUGUCCCCCUGCCCCUCCCCCUCCCCUCACCGGGAGUUCGGUUCCUCUCAGGAAGUAGAGAAUCAAGGAACAGAGAACACGGUAAUACCAGCAGGAGGGGUUGGGAGGGGGACGUUACUUAACAGCAGAAGACUGAAGGUGGGUGAGUGGGAAGGCCUUUUGUGGAGAUGUGAGAUCUGGCCUAAGCAAGAAGUGCAGAACAACCCCAGAUGGCCCUGUCCCUUCCCCUCAAACUCCUGGUUCCAGCAAGUUCUGUGUUCUUGGAAGGAUUUGGGGAGGUGUGUAUGUUGGGAGGGAACUCUGCUGAAAGAAUGUGGAAUAUAACUUUGGGGUAUAUUCUAGAACAGGGAUUUUGUGGUGGUGGUGAUUCUGAUGGAAUUCUUAGCAGGCAUUUGGGAUGGGGGAUGAUGAUUUGACAUUCACACAGUUGGCAGGGACCUUAGAGGCCAUUCUAUUUCAACCCACACCUGAACAGGUGACCCAGAACCAGGCUGAGGAUGAAGGAGGGAAGAUGUUUACUGCCCCUCCUCCCAUCUUCCCCAGGUGUCAAGGUUGGCAGAAGACUUUCCUUGCCAUAACCCUAUAAGUUCAAAGUGCUGUUAUCCCCAUCUUACAGAUGGGGAAACUGAGGCUCAAAAAAUGACUUGCCCAAGGGUACACAUCUAGCAAAUUGCAGCCCUGAGAUCAGCACCCAGAUCUCCGGACUUCAAGUCUAUCAAGCUCCACCACAACCAGCUACCUUGCCUUUCCCUCUCUUUCUGGGUCUGUAUUCCUUUUGCCUCUGGAGAGGUGAUGAUUUCAUUUUUCCUUUUUGCAUUCACUUUACUUAACAGUGCCUGGCAUGCAGCAGCCACUUUAAUAAAUGCUAGUUGAUUGACUGGUGGAUCUUGUCCACUCUUGAUCCUCUUUCUGCCCCCAGUUUGGUCAUGUAGAGCCUGGGGUCCUUUCCUGACAGCCAAAGCCAUAGUCCUGACAUCUGACUUCACAUACCUCCCUCACUCCCCUCCCAACCCAGACUGGUGGGGAGGGAUAGUUAAGGAAUUGAAAAGAGGGGUCAUGUAGUUUGUUUUUGCCCUCCCUCUCACUUUGAAGACUGGAAACUUCUCUCCUGCAGUUCCCUGAACACAAGAUAUAAGGUCACACUCAAAGGAAGAUUCUUCCUUUCCUCUUGCUGAGGAGCCCCUUUUGGAGAGAAAGUCUUUGCUUCCAACUCACCUAAGUCCUUUCUGCUCAGGCUCAUUAAUUUGUGGACAGUAAGACCUCUCUGGAGAGGUUCAGAAGUGACUUAGAUCACAACUGCCCCCUAGCCAAGCCAAGGGGGUUGUGUAGCAGGAGGCUAAGGACGGGCUUCCAGGAGGCCAGUGGUCGGUGUGGUGGGAUCACCCAGCUAUAUGACCCUAGGCAAAUCACCUUGCUUUUGUAAACCUAUUUCUUCCUGGGGAUAAUGAAACUCACUCACACUCUCUAUCUCCUCAUAGCGUUGUGUCCAGGAAAGCACUUUGCAAAUCUUUUGGAGCUAUAGAAGUAAGCUGUCACCACCACUAUUAAGAACUGUCCCCAGUGGGAAGGAAUUUCUCAGGUCAUUUCCUGACAGUAGGCUGGGAAAAGGGCUGCUUUGCCAAUGUGAUCUGAAGGGACAGGAGAGUGAGGACUAGGUCAUGAAAAGCUGGAAGUGGAGGCAGGUCCAUCAAGUUAAUCAUUUUGCUAAGAACCUCUUCCUGUAAGUGACCAAUGAGAGGCAUCCUGGGACAGGGCAAAGGGCACAGGAUUUGGAGCCAGAGGACUGAGGUUUAUAUCCCACCUGUCACCUGCUGCCUGUGUGAACCUGGGCAAUUUGGAUCUCAGUUUCUCCAUUUGCAAACUCAGGGUGAGGGAUGGGCAAGGGAAUUGGGUUGGAGAGCCUUUAAAGUUCCUUUCUGUUCUAAUGAUUUCUAGGAUCCUACUCUCUUUCCUCUCCCUCUGAUAAAGGGAAAGGCAUUUCCAGGCAGACUUGUGGUAAAUGGGGCUUUAAGUGCAAGAUCAGUUUAUUAACACUGCUGAGGCCCUCCUUUCCUUCUUUCCCCAGCUCCAGUUCUGGUCCAUUCGAAGUUUGAUUCCCUAGGUAAUCUUUAAUAUCAGUACUCUAGCCCAGGUCAGCUGGGCAGGACUGCCAGACAGACAGAGCCCAGUAGGCUGGCAGACCCAAUGGCCAAGCUCACCCAUCUGAAAUCCAAAAGGAGCUUCAGCACUUAUUAACCCAAGAAAACCUUUCAUCCAGGCCCCACUCUGACUGGGUUAGUCCCUCCCUCAGCACCUUCUCUUUCCUCUCUGGCUCAGUUCCAGGGCUCUUGGGCCCCUCUUUCAAUGGAUUCACUUCAACUCUCAUUUUAUGGAUAGUCUUAUGAGGUCCUCUCUGGGAGAUACCAUGGCUUGGGGGUCAAAGCAGAACAUCAAAGCUUGGAGGGCCCUUAGGACAGACCUAGGAUAUGCCUUAGAACAUAGAAUACUGGGGCCAGGAGGAAUAUAG